Molecule: ribosomal RNA, 405 nt
Filed under: uncultured bacterium
Lineage: Bacteria
Description: bacterial SSU rRNA
Rfam family: Bacterial small subunit ribosomal RNA
Source: RNAcentral
AAUGCCCGCAAGGGUGACCCAGCAACGCCGCGUGGAGGAUGAAUGCCGUAAGGUUGUAAACUCCUGUUAGAGGGGAAGAAUAAUUCCGAUUGCAUCGGAACUUGACUGUACCCUCAGAGAAAGCCCCGGCUAACUACGUGCCAGCAGCCGCGGUAAUACGUAGGGGGCAAGCGUUGUCCGGAUUUACUGGGUGUAAAGGGCGCGCAGGUGGGCUUGAUAGUUAGAGGUGAAAUCCUGUGGCUUAACUGCAGAACUGCCUUUAAUACUUCAAGUCUUGAGUGCGGAAGAGAGAGACGGAAUUCCAGGUGUAGUAGUGAAAUACGUAGAUAUCUGGAAGAACACCAGUUGCGAAGGCGGUCUCUUGGUCCGUAACUGACACUUAGGCGCGAAAGCGUGGGGAGCAAA